GAUGAAGAACGUAGCGAAAUGCGAUACGUAAUGUGAAUUGCAGAAUUCAGUGAAUCAUCGAAUCUUUGAACGCAUAUUGCGCUCUCUGGUAUUCCGGAGAGCAUGCUUGUUUGAGUAUCAGUAAACACCUCAACUUCCAUAUCUUUUUUGAAAUGGGAGUUGGACUUGAGUGAUCCCAACGCUUUUCCUCACCGAAAAGUGGCGGGUUACUUGAAAUGCAGGUGCAGCUGGACUUUUCUCUGAGCUAUAAGCAUAUCUAUUUAGUCUGCCUAAAAAACAGAUUAUUACCUUUGCUGCAGCUAACAUAAAGGAGAUUAUUUCUUGUGCUGACUGAUGCAGGAUUCACAAAGACAGGCUUCGGCCGACUUUGUAAACUCGAUCUCAAAUCAAGUAAGACUACCCGCUGAACUUAAGCAUAUCAAUAAGCGGAGGA
Molecule: unclassified non-coding RNA, 433 nt
Filed under: soil metagenome
Description: partial contains 5.8S ribosomal RNA, internal transcribed spacer 2, and large subunit ribosomal RNA
Rfam family: 5.8S ribosomal RNA (bases 1-120)
Source: RNAcentral